UCCCGCCGCCGCCCCUUGUCCUCCACCGAGCUACCAAGCCGCCGCCACACCACUCCACCUACGUUACUUCCCCCACGCAGCUAGCGGCAGCCGCCGCACGCCAGAUCUGCUCGACCCAUGUCUGGUUGAACGAACGUGAGGCCUCCAUGCUCCGUCUUCCAUACGGCCCCCGAGCCUAGAUCUAGACCCGACGGACCUUCAGCCUCAUGUUCCUCUCGGAGCUCCUCCCGUUCCUUCCUCACCACUGAGUCAUGGAUUCUGUCGAAGACUGCUGCCCCACCUUCGCCAUGCACCUUGCCGAUCCCUACCCUGGAUCUGAUGCCGACGCUUGCCGAGGACCGCCCCCUUCAGAUCUGUCGCACCUGCACAUCCCUGCCUCGCUUGCUACGCCCCAUCGCUAGAUCUGCGAGCCCCCAUCGCCAAGCAUCAUUUCCAGCGGUCACUGUCUCGCAUCUUCAUCAAGUUCGAUGGGAUCCCAUGCUCACAGCCCAUUCCUGUCGGCUCUGGUGGGGCGCCUCGACAAACCGGCUGGCUUCCGACCCGAGGGGCUGGGAGAUGUUGUGGCACUGUGUGUGCUGUAAUGGGGUCGCACCUGCAACGGCUCAAAACUGAACUGCUGUCUCCUCCGUUUCUUUUUCUUUGUUGCUUUCGGAGGUCAACUGAAACCCAGCCAAUAGCCAGGCUAGGCUUGGCCUACAAAUUGAUUCAGCAAAUGUAAAGCACCGGCCAGCAGCAAAAGAGAAUCUCCUUACUUCUCCU
Triticum aestivum (bread wheat) is the source of this 759-nucleotide long non-coding RNA. RefSeq lists it as uncharacterized. The transcript has 3 exons. NCBI's taxonomy places the organism in Eukaryota, Viridiplantae, Streptophyta, Magnoliopsida, Poales, Poaceae. The record is from RefSeq and is a predicted model, not a curated record.